GUAGACGAUGGGCCUCCACUAAAAGUCCUGGUUAGGUUCAAUCAUUAAUAUGAAUCUACUUAGUGAUUUUGAUUAAUGAAUAAUUAGGCCCGAGUAUGGCUCGACCAAACCAACUAUUCAUCAGAUAGUAUAAUAGAGUCAUCAUAUGAUAAAUAAUAAUUCCAUCAUUCAGAGAAACACCAGACGGAUGGUGCCUGCAAUGUCAAUUAGAAAUAAUGGACCCAUUAUCAUUCAUCUUAAUGGGAGGCU
Molecule: long non-coding RNA, 249 nt
Filed under: Elaeis guineensis (African oil palm)
Lineage: Eukaryota; Viridiplantae; Streptophyta; Magnoliopsida; Arecales; Arecaceae
Description: long non-coding RNA (EGUI_LNC078519)
Source: RNAcentral